GAUGAACGCUGGCGGCGUGCCUAAUACAUGCAAGUCGAGCGAACGGACGAGAAGCUUGCUUCUCUGAUGUUAGCGGCGGACGGGUGAGUAACACGUGGAUAACCUACCUAUAAGACUGGGAUAACUUCGGGAAACCGUAGCUAAUACCGGAUAAUAUUUUGAACCGCAUGGUUCAAAAGUGAAAGACGGUCUUGCUGUCACUUAUAGAUGGAUCCGCGCUGCAUUAGCUAGUUGGUAAGGUAACGGCUUACCAAGGCAACGAUGCAUAGCCGACCUGAGAGGGUGAUCGGCCACACUGGAACUGAGACACGGUCCAGACUCCUACGGGAGGCAGCAGUAGGGAAUCUUCCGCAAUGGGCGAAAGCCUGACGGAGCAACGCCGCGUGAGUGAUGAAGGUCUUCGGAUCGUAAAACUCUGUUAUUAGGGAAGAACAUAUGUGUAAGUAACUGUGCACAUCUUGACGGUACCUAAUCAGAAAGCCACAGCUAACUACAUG
This 497-nucleotide ribosomal RNA is filed under the name uncultured bacterium. RNAcentral's name for it is "partial 16S ribosomal RNA". It matches the Rfam family "Bacterial small subunit ribosomal RNA", at positions 28 to 507 of the family's 1533-position model. The record is from RNAcentral.